UCCGGUUUCAAAACAUUUCAAACCCAUAACCACCUAGUAGAGGUACUUAUGAUCUGUUUUAUUUUUAUUAUAUACCCUCUAAUUAUUUUCUAGCAGAAAGCCUGAAAGAGGACAAUACAAUUGAAUUGAACUAAAAUUCCACAAGGAUGAGGUUUUAAAUUACAAUUUGUUCACUUGCAGCUCUUUUCCAUCUACCAUUCAGUCUAUGUAUAUGUUUUAUUGCCAUGAUACACAUUACUCGUGCAUUUCUAUGUCCAAAGUAUGGUUACUCUAACCUUGUGUUAGUGUAAUAUUUUUCUUGUAAGUAUUUAUUUUAUAAAUACAUAUUACAGUUUGGAUUUUGUUUUAAGUGGUUACCAUAGAUUGUUUUAAAUCACGAUUCAACAUAUCUCUUCAAUUACAAUUUGUUUUUUUAAUCAGUGUUUUGUUUUUAAAAGUUCUGUUAACCAUUGGUUAAGCUGACUAAUGUUUGAACAAGUGUGUCUUGGAUUUUGUGUAAUGCAACCCAUCAUUCUGUUUGAAUAGGGUAAAGGAACGUUUCCAUGUGAAGUGUCGGUUUUGGACAUCCAUAAUGAUCUCGAAUGGAACCCACAAGUAUCCACACUCAAUGUCUGGCCUCUGUACAUUUCAGAUGACGGCAAUGUCAUGUACUACAGGGACAAAACUGAGGAACUAAUGGAAUUGUCAGAUGACAAAAAGAAGGAAAUACAACAAAAAGAAAAUUUGAGUAACCGACUGAGUUACUCUCCUCGUAAAGAACGGGCUCUCAAGAUAUACACAGAUGACCCGCCUCCCUCGUCCAGUUCCAAGUCGUCACCAGAUGUUGACUGAAAGACUGGCCUGAAGACAAGCACUGGUGUCCUUCCACCCCUCGUCCACUCAUACAUCGUCUCUGGAUUUUCAUUGAGAGGGUCGUGUGUGUUUACACUGAUAACCAUAUCACUGCAUACAGACAUAGGCAAAUGAUAAACCCACAACGUGCAGAAAAACUACAUUCUUACCCAGUCUGAACAAGGUUUUUUGUCAACAUUUGUUCAGUGAACAUGUGGGUCUUAUAUCGAGGUUUUAAAUUAAGAAGAAAUUAGGUGGUAUCCAGGAAUCUUUAUUCUCCCUCCACGAUAUAUCAAGAUAUGUUAGAAGUGCUGCAGUUUUUGUUGUGUAAGAGCAUUGCUGGUACAAUGUGUUGCUGUGUGGAAUGUUUCAAUAAUAUGUUGUCACCUUCAGUAUGGUCUCCGUUAGGUACUUCAUUUUAUCUUUGAUCCAUUUCUUCAUUAUAUAAUUGACAAAAUUCUGCUUUAUAUGAUAGCAGAUAUGAAUAAUAUUUUAAAACAUUAUUAAUAAAAAUUAAAAAGAAAAUUGGUCCUGAAUUUUUGGUAUUAAAUUUGGAAACUAAGCGCUUGUAGUUUGUGUUAAUAGCAAAACAAAUGCGGACUCUUAAGUAAUACAUAAUAAAUAUUUGUAUUUAUGUGGAUUACAGCCCAGAAAUGGAUGAAAAAUACAUGGUUAUGUUUUACACAUUUAUUUUUUAAUUUAACAUUAUACCUGUUAAAAAAGAAAGAAAGAAAAAGAUGUAUUACAAAAGAAAAAAUGUACAAUGGUCACAUUUAAGUAAAAGUGAAACAAAGUAUUGUUUGAUAGUUGGAUUCCAUAUUUUGUGAUAUCAAUAUACUGUCUAGUUUUUAAUCUGUUAAUAUUUAAUCUUGUAAUGUUUUGCUAUAGUAUUAGAUUAUCAAUAAAUGUUACUGUAAACAUGGUAUAACUCUUUUGUAGUGAUUUCAUUUCAAGGGCUGACAACCAGCUGGAAGUUCAGUCAACUGCUUGUUGCUAACGUUCGCUAGACUAAUAUUUACGCUACACAGUAAACAGAAUUGCCACUUCGGGAACCAAUCAAACAGUUCGCGAACAUUACGAAAUGUUCACUGGCUGAACUUGGGGCAGGCGUCAUUUUACUAAGCAAUCUUAGCGCUAAAAUUGUCUUUAGUGCAUAAGAUAGUUAGGCACUUAUGGUGAUGUUAACACUAAGUUCACAUCAAAAACAGGGCCCAGACGUGGUAACGUCCAUUCUUUGCAAAAAUAACAUUAGUGCACGAGUACUCACUUUCAGACAAUGUAAACGGUGGACAAAUUAAUUGAAUACAUUUUGUGCAAUAAGAAUCAUUAUAUAUUAAAGGACAGGAAUGUUUGACAACAUCUUGGCAUAUUUUAUACUACGGCUCUCUGGUGUCUAACAUGGUUAUUAUGUUGCGUUCAUUUGGUGGUCGUGAACACCAAGUGAAGAGCAUUCAUGCGAAUUAUAGACAAUCUGCACUGUCAUUCCAACUGUCAUUCCAAUCUCACACACACCAGCUCAUAAUUGCAAGAAUGAUCCGUGUUUGUUCAGCCUUUUUUUUUUUCCUACCACGAGUUGUAAAUAUUGAGACAGAAAAUCCUACCCUAGUUCACAAGUUGUGUUCACAGGUUAUUUCGCAAAACAAACACUCUUCACAACUUGUAAAUUGGGAAAUGUGAUAUUCACAUUCUCUGAUGAAUGCAUCAUUAUAACCAUUGGUCUAGAUCCUGAGAGAGAAACACUACGGACUGCCGCAUAGGCUAAUCCUACCAACCAGCAGCUUGAUAGAGAAUACUACAUGACCGGCCGUUAAGAUACAAUUUAUCUUACAAGAAGUUGUUUUAAAAUGUAUCUAACGAUCUUACAUGAUCUUCAAAAAACAGUUUUAAACUAAAUUUAAACACUUUUCCAACUAAAACCUAUGUACGGUCCUAGCGCUUAAAGUUAAUUUGUGCAUCACAGACAAGUCAAUUUCAGGUUAACUUGUACGUAACAUCUAGUGGUCAGUUUCUACGUGCUUUUUCACUGGGUGUUAUGCCAUUGGUGACCUGGUCAUCACCUAGGUGCAGCACAGUCAUAUGUCUGUAAAAUGUUAUCGCACGUGUAUGUGUUAACAAGUAUGUGUUAUCAAAAAUAACGAAUAAUGUUCUCACCAGCAGGUGUGUAAGAAAGAUCAUUUAUAAACACAUUCCCAGAGCCUUGGGACACUAAAAAGGAGGCUGAUCUAUUGAACCUCGGGCUAGUGUUCCACCAGUGAGUUCCAAUACAUAGAGAGGUGGCUUGUAACUCACUGGUGGAGCAUAACCUCUAUAUAUUUGAGACAAACUUAUCCGAAAAGUCAUGCCUUGUGACUUAAUUAUCACCCACGUUUUAUUAACUUUGUGUUUUUUUAGAAAUAUGUAUUGCAUGUAAAGAGAUUAUAUUAACUUAAAUUUAAUAAUUUAUUGGAAUAAUUAACAUGAAAAGAGCACCGGAGAGCUAUCAAUAGUGGAUGCAGUCACAGAAGAUGUGUGUAAUUUUAACUUUAACAAUACUAACAAGACGAGAUGAGAAUAUCCUUGGGAACAAGGAUAUAAGAUCUUGUAAAAAAAAAUUACUGGCCUUGUGUUUGCAGUGUGGUUUUAAACUAAACUAUAUUUGUAUGUAUGUGUGUGUUGUAUGUAUGCAUAGGAAUUUUAAUCUUUUUUACAUUAAAUUUGAUAAUGGCCACUGUUAUUCAUUGUACAUGUAUUAGUUUUCUAGAAUCAUUUUUAAUGCCAAAUUGUUAGAUCCAUGUGGUGUAUCUUGUGUGUUGGUAGGGGGUUGGGAUGUUAAUGCAGUUGCCAUUAUCACAUUUGAUGGUAAGAUGUCAAAUCCCAGUGAUGAGUGUAUACAUUUACUUAGAAAUGUGUUAGUUAAACAAAUAUGAUCAACAAAUUUGUACUUCAGUUAAAAAAAUAUUUGAAACACAUCUCAUUAAACGAUGUAUGUGUCUUAACCAGUCAGAUUUUUAUGGUCACCUCAAAAGCAAGCCAUUCAUGGUUUUCGAUAAGCUUGUUUUAAGCUACAUGUAUACUUCAAAAAUAUAAAGGUUUAUAAAAUAUUACAUACAUGUAAAAAAAAAACGUUAUCUGUAAUAUGUUCUGCUUCACUGACGGUUUCAAAUAAAGUGAAAUUCUGUUAAAAUACAUACUAACUUGCAUUUCAAAGAUUCCCACCCUUACCUGCAUGACUAAAAUAGGUCAGCAUGACACAUUCCCUCCAUAAAUGAGAAAAGUAUCACGUUUUAUUGUUCAAUCAUUUAACGAGAGUUGAUAUUUAAAAUUACACCACUACAUUUGAACAGUGAGGUAGCCAAAUACAGUACAGUCAUUUGCUGUGGCUAUCAACUGUAUUUAGUGAGGUAGCCAAUAUGGUUGUCAUUUGCUGUGGCCAUUAACUGUAUUUAGUGAGGUAGCUAAUACGGUUGUCAUUUGCUGUGGCCAUUAACUGUAUUUAAUGAGGUGACUAAAUAUGAUACUGUCAUUUGCUGUGGCCAUCAACUGUAUUUAGCGAGAUCCCUAAAUACAGUACUAUCAUUUGCUGUGGCCAUUAACUGUAUUUGUCAUAUCUAUAGAUUGUUUUGUCUAUGUCUAUAUGUAUUGGAGUCGGAAGCUUUGGAAUAUAUUUGUGAAAUUAAAUUAAUUAAAUUAUUGCAGCAGUGUCUAGCAAGCUUUCAGUCAUGGUGCUAUCAAUCAUAACAUCAGUUUUAGAAGCAGAAAUUUAAAUGUUUAUUUGGGUUAUCAAUUGGUUUGGCCUGAGGAGUUCUCAGAAUGUGUAUAUGCAUUUAGUUUUUAAUAUUUGGUGCAUUUAGUUUUUACACCAAUAAAAUCAAACGAUUAUCUUUGUAAUAACUGCAAUUUGUUUAUUAUACAUAUUAUAUGUAUUGUUUUCCAGUGUUGCCCAAUCAUAGCAACUUAUUACUGAAAAUUUGAAUUGUAGAUAGAUGGUCCCAACAAAUUUCAGUACAAAGAUCUUGAAUUGUUUGGCAAGUUCACCUAUAUGAUAAGAAAUAUUGAGAAUUAUUUUAUUUGCAAUUACUGACCAAAAUAUUUUGGUGCUGGGCAGCAAUCACCUGCAAAAUGAGGUGUAAAACAUUUAUGAAAUUUAUAUUCCUCCUGCCUUUUUUUUGGGAGGGGGUGUAAAACUGUUCGUAAAGUUUCGCAUGCACUUGUAAUAAUUUCUAUUUAUAAACUUAAUUCAAAGUAACCAUAUAUGACUGGCACAGACUAGACAAUACUAUUGGUGGUGAAGGUUGGUUCUAAUAAAUAUUUGUCUGGCAGAAUGGAAUUUGCAACAAUUAACAAUUUGUACUUUUUUUCUUUAGUUUUUUUGACGUCAAAUUCAGCUUAAAUUCAAGAUUGGCUAAUACAUGAGUAGAUAAAUAAAUGAACAGCUAUAAUGGAUUUAAAUAUGCAAGACUGAAAUUGUGACUACUUACAUUUGAAAAAUCUAAAUGUUUCUUCAAAGGUUCAGUCCGUAGUCUAUUUUAUAUAGCACAUUUUCAAUCGGAGACAAAUUGUCUAAAAAUGUAGAGAUGGUGACAAAGAUUCUAACUGGUUUUUAAUAUAUUAUUUACAGAUGAAAAUGUGGAUUUUUUGUUUUCCUUAAAAAAAUUGGUUUUUGCACUACCAAAAAUGUUCCUGUUCUUUAAUAAAAAGCUUGCAUCAAUGCCCAGAGUUUCAAAACCUUACUCUUUUUUUUUCUUCACAUUUUUAUCUAUAUAUUGGAACCAAUUAUGCAUUUCACUCCCUAAUACAAAAGUGUUCCCAGCUAUGUAUAGUAAAUACCCCCCUACCCCUCCCUCAAGUUAGACAAGUGGAUUUAAAAGAUGUGCAGGAUGUGUUAUCACUUUUAUAAUUAAUAUCUUGUUACGACAGGUCUAGUGUACAAAGCAUUCCAGUGUUGUAGCUUGUUAGACAAGUCUGUUCUAUGUGAUAGAUUACUUUCUGUUUAUAUCGCUGCUUUUCACACUACAGGGUUCAUAGUGCGAACCCCGACAACCUUGGUUACAGUUCAUCUUUGUUAAAAGCUCCUCAUUGGUAUAUAUUUUUCAUACUGUAAGAUGUAAUGAGCAUGUCAGAAAGCCAUAUACUUUUUCUUUAUUCUUGUGAUCUCGGAUAUUGUGAUUUAGGGGUUUUUUGUGUGUGUUUUUUUUUAUGUUGAUUGAACAUAGGGCCUAAUUGUUGAAGCAAAAGAUAAACAAUGAAUAUUGCAAAUGUAUGUUUAUUCUAGUUGGCAAGUUUAUGUUGUUCCCAGGCAAUUAAGAAUAAACAUGUUAAAACAGUUAAAA
This is a long non-coding RNA of Gigantopelta aegis, 6140 nucleotides long. RefSeq lists it as uncharacterized. The transcript is spliced from 3 exons. The record is from RefSeq and is a predicted model, not a curated record. Lineage: Eukaryota; Metazoa; Mollusca; Gastropoda; Neomphalida; Peltospiridae.